UACGUAGGACCCAAGCGUUAUCCGGAAUUACUGGGCGUAAAGAGUUGCGUAGGCGGCUUGUUAAGUUGGUAGUGAAAUCGUGCGGCUCAACCGCAUAAACAUUACCAAAACUGGCAAGCUAGAGUGUGAGAGAGGUUACUGGAAUUCCAAGUGUAGGAGUGAAAUCCGUAGAUAUUUGGAGGAACACCGAUGGCGUAGGCAGGUAACUGGCUCACUACUGACGCUCAGGCACGAAAGCGUGGGGAGCGAACAGG
RNAcentral lists this ribosomal RNA (254 nucleotides) under uncultured bacterium. RNAcentral describes it as "partial 16S ribosomal RNA". It matches the Rfam family "Bacterial small subunit ribosomal RNA", at positions 524 to 776 of the family's 1533-position model. The record is from RNAcentral.